Molecule: long non-coding RNA, 281 nt
Filed under: Setaria viridis
Lineage: Eukaryota; Viridiplantae; Streptophyta; Magnoliopsida; Poales; Poaceae
Description: long non-coding RNA (SVIR_LNC005192)
Source: RNAcentral
GGAUAUAAUAUAAAUGUUGUGUGUCAUGCUCUUGUUUCUACCAUAUUUCUCUCAAGUAGUUAGCCUGUUAUGUUUAGACUCUCAGUCCCUGUUUAGCCAUUGCCACUGUGUGUGAGAUAUUUAUCUCGUGUACGUGUACUGGCGCUGCUGCUACGCAAAUCUUUGUCCCGCGUCCUAACAUUUAGGCAUGACAGAAGAUCCAAGACUUUCACGAAUUGAGGCGUGUUCUGCUUAAGGAUAUUAGUGACCGCUAAGAGAAAAACAUUAAAAAUAAGUAGUCA